UUUGAUGUUAGAUAAUAUAUUUCAUGCUAUUGAGGUUCGAGUUGGGGCUAGGGAAAGGAAAAUCGGAGUUUUGUUUUGAACUCCAUUGUAGAAAAUGCAGUUUCUGUUAUGGUGCAGGGUGACGAGCGUGACCCUAAUGACGCCUUAACCGUCAUCGCUUUGGAGGCACUGGAGGGUAGACCGUCAUGGUCCCCCGACUUGUUU
This 204-nucleotide long non-coding RNA is filed under the name Lathyrus oleraceus (garden pea). RNAcentral describes it as "Pisum sativum (pea) long non-coding RNA (PSAT_LNC008105)". Lineage: Eukaryota; Viridiplantae; Streptophyta; Magnoliopsida; Fabales; Fabaceae. The record is from RNAcentral.